CGAAGGUUUGGUCCUAGCCUCAAUAUUAGUUCUAGCUCGGCUUACACAUGCAAGUCUCAGCAUUCCGGUGAGGACGCCCUAGUCAACCCCAAAAAUUUAUCUAGGAGCAGGCAUCAGGCACAUUAAUUAAUAGCCCAUAACGCCUCGCCCAACCACAUCCACACGGAAACUCAGCAGUGAUAAAUAUUGCCCCAUGAGCGCAAGCUCGAAUCAACCAGAGCUAAAAGAGCCGGUCAAUCCCGUGCCAGCCACCGCGGUUAUACGAAUGACACAAAUUAAUACUCACGGCGUUAAGGGUGAUUAAAAAAUAACUAACCCAAAAUAAAGUCAAGAGCCCGCCAAGCCGUCAUACGCUCUUACGGCCAGAAACACCACCAACGAAAGUGACUUUAAAAAAAUAGAAUAUUUGACCUCACGACAGUUAAGACCCAAACUAGGAUUAGAUACCCUACUAUGCUUAACCAUAAACACAGCUAUUAAACAACCCACCUUAAUAUUCGCCAGAACACUACAAGCGCUAGCUUAAAACCUAAAGGACUUGGCGGUGCUCCAUACCCGCCUAGAGGAGCCUGUUCUAUAACCGAUAAUCCACGUUCUACCCCACCACUUCUUGCCCCGCCCCCGCCUAUAUACCGCCGUCGUAAGCCCACCCUAUGAAGGCCACACAGUAAGCAAAACGGAAACUUCCCCAAUACGUCAGGUCGAGGUGUAGCGAAUGAAGUGGAAAGAAAUGGGCUACAUUUUCUCCAAAGAACAUACGAACGAAAGUAUGAAAAACUUCCCAAAGGUGGAUUUAGCAGUAAGUGAACUUUAGAAUACUACACUGAAACUGGCCCUGGAGCGCGCACACACCGCCCGUCACUCUCCUCAAAACAAUCCCUAAAACAUCCAUAAAAAAACUUAAUAUCAAGAGGAGGCAAGUCGUAACAUGGUAAGUGUACUGGAAAGUGCACUUGGAUUAAC
This 963-nucleotide non-coding RNA is filed under the name Potamotrygon magdalenae. RNAcentral describes it as "12S ribosomal RNA". It matches the Rfam family "Bacterial small subunit ribosomal RNA". The record is from RNAcentral. Lineage: Eukaryota; Metazoa; Chordata; Chondrichthyes; Myliobatiformes; Potamotrygonidae.